Oncorhynchus keta (chum salmon) is the source of this 483-nucleotide long non-coding RNA. RefSeq lists it as uncharacterized. Lineage: Eukaryota; Metazoa; Chordata; Actinopteri; Salmoniformes; Salmonidae. The transcript has 3 exons. The record is from RefSeq and is a predicted model, not a curated record.
UGCUGAAUACAACAGGUGUAGUAGACCUUACAGUGAAAUGCUGAAUACAACAGGUGUAGUAGACCUCACAGUGAAAUGCUGAAUACAACAGGUGUAGUAGACCUUACAGUGAAAUGCUGAAUACAACAGGUGUAGUAGACCUUACAGUGAAAUGCUGAAUACAACAGGUGUAGUAGACCUUACAGUGAAAUGCUGAAUACAACAGGUGUAGUUGACCUUACAGUGAAAUGCUGAAUACAACAGGUGUAGUAGACCUUACAGUGAAAUGCUGAAUACAACAGGUGUAGUAGACCUCACAGUGAAAUGCUGAAUACAACAGGUGUAGUAGACCUUACAGUGAAAUGCUGAAUACAACAGGUGUAGUUGACCUUACAGUGAAAUGCUGAAUACAACAGGUGUAGUAGACCUUACAGUGAAAUGCUGAAUACAACAGGUGUAGUUGACCUUACAGUGAAAUGCUGAAUACAACAGGUGUAGUUGACC